Non-coding RNA from Ictidomys tridecemlineatus (thirteen-lined ground squirrel), 72 nucleotides. Lineage: Eukaryota; Metazoa; Chordata; Mammalia; Rodentia; Sciuridae. The record is from Rfam.
GGGGAUGUAGCUCAGUGGUAGAGUACUUGCCUAGCAUGCAUGAGGCCUUGGAUUUGAAUCCCAACAUCACAA